CCUACGGGGUGCUGCAGUCGAGAAUCAUUCACAAUGGGGGAAACCCUGAUGGUGCGACGCCGCGUGGGGGAAUGAAGGUCUUCGGAUUGUAAACCCCUGUCAUGUGGGAGCAAAUUAAAAAGAUCGUACCACACGAGGAAGAGACGGCUAACUCUGUGCCAGCAGCCGCGGUAAUACAGAGGUCUCAAGCGUUGUUCGGAAUCACUGGGCGUAAAGCGUGCGUAGGCUGUUUCGUAAGUCGUGUGUGAAAGGCGCGGGCUCAACCCGCGGACGGCACAUGAUACUGCGAGACUAGAGUAAUGGAGGGGGAACCGGAAUUCUCGGUGUAGCAGUGAAAUGCGUAGAUAUCGAGAGGAACACUCGUGGCGAAGGCGGGUUCCUGGACAUUAACUGACGCUGAGGCACGAAGGCCAGGGGAGCGAAAGGGAUUAGAUACCCUGGUAGUC
Molecule: ribosomal RNA, 446 nt
Filed under: uncultured bacterium
Lineage: Bacteria
Description: partial 16S ribosomal RNA
Rfam family: Bacterial small subunit ribosomal RNA
Source: RNAcentral